UUGGCCCCGCCCCUCUCUAUUUCCAGAUGCGUGCUCGUUCACGUUGUUCCGCAAGGCACGUUCAAGUGGACGUCCUGGCUGCGUCACUUGCGCGCCGCCACGCUCCCUUCCGAUGCACUUCUUUCCCCAAAAGCCUAAAGAUAGAUGUUUCGUUUUCAGUCCCUGGAUGAAGACUGUACGUUGGAGGAGGAAGAUGAAGGGAUGAUAGAAGAG
Molecule: long non-coding RNA, 213 nt
Organism: Notothenia coriiceps (black rockcod)
Lineage: Eukaryota; Metazoa; Chordata; Actinopteri; Perciformes; Nototheniidae
Exons: 2
Source: RefSeq, a predicted model, not a curated record